Molecule: long non-coding RNA, 318 nt
Filed under: Lathyrus oleraceus (garden pea)
Lineage: Eukaryota; Viridiplantae; Streptophyta; Magnoliopsida; Fabales; Fabaceae
Description: Pisum sativum (pea) long non-coding RNA (PSAT_LNC014871)
Source: RNAcentral
CAUACAUCAUGAACAAGAUGGACACAAGCCACUCAAUUGAUCAAAGGGAAGAGAAAAAGAUGAAGAAAAAGGGACAAGAGACGUCACACCUAAAUUGGACCAAAAGUUUGAUCAAGUCAUCAUCAAAAUCAAUCAUCCAUUUUGGUAGAUUAGGGUUUUCACCCUAUCAACACCUAAGAUCCAUUGAGUUUGAUGAGACUCAUGAUCCAAACAAUCAUGAUCCAAGGCCAACAGAAGUUCACAAAGGUCACACAAGUAUAAAAUGCAAUUAAAUUAAAUAAAAAAUCACCAAAAGUGGUUUUAAAUGAGUUUAAAAAU